Molecule: ribosomal RNA, 295 nt
Filed under: uncultured microorganism
Description: partial 16S ribosomal RNA
Rfam family: Bacterial small subunit ribosomal RNA
Source: RNAcentral
GUGCCACCAGCCGCGGUAAUACUGGAGGGUGCAAGCUGUUAAUCGAAAUUACUGGGCGUAAAGCGCACGCAGGCGGUCUGUCAAGUCGGAUGUGAAAUCCCGGGGCUCAACCUGGGAACUGCAUCCGAAACUGGCAGGCUAGAGUCUUGUAGAGGGGGGGUAGAAUUCCAGGUGUAGCGGUGAAAUGCGUAGAGAUCUGGAGGAAUACCGGUGGCGAAGGCGGCCCCCUGGACAAAGACUGACGCUCAGGUGCGAAAGCGUGGGGAGCAAACAGGAUUAGAUACCCUGGUAGUCC